RNAcentral lists this ribosomal RNA (490 nucleotides) under uncultured bacterium. RNAcentral describes it as "partial 16S ribosomal RNA". It matches the Rfam family "Bacterial small subunit ribosomal RNA", at positions 30 to 507 of the family's 1533-position model. The record is from RNAcentral.
AUUGAACGCUGGCGGCAGGCCUAACACAUGCAAGUCGAACGGUAACAGGAAGAAGCUUGCUUCUUUGCUGACGAGUGGCGGACGGGUGAGUAAUGUCUGGGAAACUGCCUGAUGGAGGGGGAUAACUACUGGAAACGGUAGCUAAUACCGCAUAACGUCGCAAGACCAAAGAGGGGGACCUUCGGGCCUCUUGCCAUCGGCUGUGCCCAGAUGGGAUUAGCUAGUAGGUGGGGUAACGGCUCACCUAGGCGACGAUCCCUAGCUGGUCUGAGAGGAUGACCAGCCACACUGGAACUGAGACACGGUCCAGACUCCUACGGGAGGCAGCAGUGGGGAAUAUUGCACAAUGAGCGCAAGCCUGAUGCAGCCAUGCCGCGUGUAUGAAGAAGGUCUUCGGGUUGUAAAGUACUUUCAGCGGGGAGGAAGGGAGUAAAGUUAAUACCUUCGCUCAUUGACGUUACCCGCAGAAGAAGCACCGGCUAACUCCGUG